UGAGGAAUAUUGCGCAAUGGCCGAAAGGCUGACGCAGCGACGCCGCGUGAGGGAUGAAGUCCGUUAGGAUGUAAACCUCUUUUGCAGGGGAUGAAUGUUCCCGAUUUAUCGGGACUUGACCGUACCCUGCGAAUAAGGAUCGGCCAACUACGUGCCAGCAGCCGCGGUAAUACGUAGGAUCCGAGCGUUGUCCGGAAUUACUGGGUGUAAAGGGCGUGUAGGUGGGCUUCUAAGUCGGUGGUGAAAUCCUGCAGCUUAACUGCAGAACUGCCUCCGAUACUGGGAGUCUUGAGUACGGCAGAGGGAGAUGGAAUUCAUGGUGUAGCGGUGAAAUGUGUAGAUAUCAUGAAGAACACCGGUAGCGAAGGCGGUCUCCUGGUCCGUUACUGACACUGAGGCG
This 400-nucleotide ribosomal RNA is filed under the name uncultured bacterium. RNAcentral describes it as "bacterial SSU rRNA". It matches the Rfam family "Bacterial small subunit ribosomal RNA", at positions 355 to 753 of the family's 1533-position model. The record is from RNAcentral.